GACGAACGCUGGCGGCGUGCUUAACACAUGCAAGUCGAACGGAAAGGCCCUGCUUUUGUGGGGUGCUCGAGUGGCGAACGGGUGAGUAACACGUGAGUAACCUGCCCUUGACUUUGGGAUAACUUCAGGAAACUGGGGCUAAUACCGGAUAGGAGCUCCUGCUGCAUGGUGGGGGUUGGAAAGUUUCGGCGGUUGGGGAUGGACUCGCGGCUUAUCAGCUUGUUGGUGGGGUAGUGGCUUACCAAGGCUUUGACGGGUAGCCGGCCUGAGAGGGUGACCGGCCACAUUGGGACUGAGAUACGGCCCAGACUCCUACGGGAGGCAGCAGUGGGGAAUAUUGCAUAGUGGGCGGAAGCCUGAUGCAGCAACGCCGCGUGCGGGAUGACGGCCUUCGGGUUGUAAACCGCUUUCGCCUGUGACGAAGCGUGAGUGACGGUAAUGGGUAAAGAAGCACCGGCUAACUACGUG
RNAcentral lists this ribosomal RNA (468 nucleotides) under uncultured bacterium. RNAcentral describes it as "partial 16S ribosomal RNA". It matches the Rfam family "Bacterial small subunit ribosomal RNA", at positions 28 to 507 of the family's 1533-position model. The record is from RNAcentral.